This 1098-nucleotide long non-coding RNA is filed under the name Homo sapiens (human). RNAcentral describes it as "HSALNT0157099". Lineage: Eukaryota; Metazoa; Chordata; Mammalia; Primates; Hominidae. The record is from RNAcentral.
CCUGCCUGCGGCAGCCAUGUCAUCUGGGGCUCAACCCAAAGCCCCUGCAUGGGGAGGGGUCCUGGAAUAGCCAUGUGACCAUGGAUCUCGGCCUCCUCUUCCCUGCUCCCCUGCACAGAUGGCCUGGAAGCCCCACCUCCUCCCCAGGGUGCUCUGACAUCAGAAGGGCUGUGACGGGAAGGCCACACCUCCACAGGACCUGCAGGUGCCUGCCUGGGACCUGGCUCUCAGUGGGCACCCAGCCCCCUCCUGGCAUUGCCAGGGGAGUCCUGGGUAUCUGACCCGUCUCUUUGUCCAGGAAGUGACCACUGGGAAGGCCGUGCACCCCGCUCCAAGUCAGGACUCGGGUGUAAGCUGGUCCUAGCCUCCCGGCCUCCCUGCCCCCACCCCCAGCAUCGCAGUAAGCCUGGCAGGUUGGUCAUACUCAGAAACCACCCAGAGGGGCUGGGCGUGGCACACACCUGGAGUCCCAGCACUUUGGGAAACCCAGAUGGAAAGAUCACUUGAGCCCAGGAGUUCAAGACCAGCCUGGGCAAUAUCGUGAGACCUCAUCUCUACGAAAAAUACAAAAAUUAGCUGAGUGUGGUGGUGUACUACUCAGGAGGCUGAUGUGGGAGGCUCAUUUGAGCCCCGGGGCUUCAGGCUGCAGUGAGCUGUGAUUGCGCCACUACAUUCCAGCCUGGGUGACAAUGAGACCGCAUCUCAAAAAUAAUAAUAAUAAUGCAGCCAUGGGGGCCCGUUUUGUGCCCUGGACAAGGCACACAGUGGUGUUGCUCCAGCCCCCUCGCCACUUUCAGGGCCACACCUGCCCCAGGGCAGUGGGAGGCGCAGGUAUCAGGGAAAUGUGGAUGUGGAAAUGGACAGGUCAGGGGUUGGGGCAACUAUGGGGCUGCCCACGCUGACCCCUUAAGGCUGGGCCCUGUGUCCAACACGCCAGCUGAGGUGGCCCACGGGGGACCCAGACCUGGUUCUGCCCUCGAGGGCUCUGGGAUUGGAGAGGGCAGCUGGGCAGAGAGUCCCACAAGUUCUCAAAAAACAGAAGAGGCUUCCCAGGGCCCAUGAGAAGCCAGCACAGUCAGGGAGGGCUUCCAGGAGGCG